AGCAGCCGCGGUAAUUCCAGCUCCAAUAGCGUAUAUUAAAGUUGUUGCAGUUAAAAAGCUCGUAGUUGAAUUUCGGGGUCAGUAGGUUGGUCGUGCCACUGGUAUGCACUGGUCUCACUGAUUCCUCCUUCCUGAUGAACCGUAAUGCCAUUAAUUUGGUGUUGCGGGGAGUCUGGACUGUUACUUUGAAAAAAUUAGAGUGUUUAAAGCAGGCUAACGCUUGAAUACAUUAGCAUGGAAUAAUGAAAUAGGACGAUCGAUCCUAUUUUGUUGGUUUCUAGGAUUGACGUAAUGAUUAAUAGGGAUAGUUGGGGGCAUUAGUAUCCAAUUGUCAGAGGUGAAAUUCUUGGAUUUAUUGAAGACUAACUACUGCGAAAGCAUUUGCCAAGGAUGUUUUCAUUAAUCAAGAACGAAAGUUAGGGGAUCGAAGACGAUCAGAUAUCGUCGUAGUCUUAACCAUAAACUAUGCCGACUAGGGAUCGGAUGAUGUUAUCUUAAUGA
Molecule: ribosomal RNA, 501 nt
Filed under: uncultured Glomus
Lineage: Eukaryota; Fungi; Glomeromycota; Glomeromycetes; Glomerales; Glomeraceae
Description: SSU rRNA
Rfam family: Eukaryotic small subunit ribosomal RNA
Source: RNAcentral